GACGGAGGGUGCAAGCGUUGUUCGGAUUGACUGGGCGUAAAGGGCGUGUAGGCGGUUCGUUAAGUCGGGUGUGAAAGCCCGGGGCUCAGCUCCGGAAGUGCGCCCGAAACUGGCGAGCUGGAGCGCGGUAGAGGAGGGUGGAAUUCCUGGUGUAGCGGUGAAAUGCGUAGAUAUCAGGAGGAACACCGGCGGCGAAGGCGGCCCUCUGGAUCGUUGCUGACGCUGAGACGCGAAAGCGUGGGGAGCAAACAG
RNAcentral lists this ribosomal RNA (252 nucleotides) under uncultured bacterium. RNAcentral describes it as "partial 16S ribosomal RNA". It matches the Rfam family "Bacterial small subunit ribosomal RNA", at positions 524 to 775 of the family's 1533-position model. The record is from RNAcentral.